Molecule: ribosomal RNA, 497 nt
Filed under: uncultured bacterium
Lineage: Bacteria
Description: partial 16S ribosomal RNA
Rfam family: Bacterial small subunit ribosomal RNA
Source: RNAcentral
GAUGAACGCUGGCGGCGUGCCUAAUACAUGCAAGUCGAGCGAACAGACGAGGAGCUUGCUCCUCUGACGUUAGCGGCGGACGGGUGAGUAACACGUGGAUAACCUACCUAUAAGACUGGGAUAACUUCGGGAAACCGGAGCUAAUACCGGAUAAUAUAUUGAACCGCAUGGUUCAAUAGUGAAAGACGGUUUUGCUGUCACUUAUAGAUGGAUCCGCGCCGCAUUAGCUAGUUGGUAAGGUAACGGCUUACCAAGGCGACGAUGCGUAGCCGAACUGAGAGGGUGACCGGCCACCCUGGAACUGCGACACGGUCCAGACUCCUACGGGAGGCAGCAGUAGGGAAUCUUCCGCAAUGGGCGAAAGCCUGACGGAGCAACGCCGCGUGAGUGAUGAAGGUCUUCGGAUCGUCAAACUCUGUUAUUAGGGAAGAACAAAUGUGUAAGUAACUAUGCACGUCUUGACGGUACCUAAUCAGAAAGCCGCGGCUAACUACGUG